This 330-nucleotide unclassified non-coding RNA is filed under the name fungal sp. RNAcentral describes it as "partial internal transcribed spacer region". The stretch from base 1 to 46 matches the Rfam family "Eukaryotic small subunit ribosomal RNA", at positions 1786 to 1831 of the family's 1831-position model. Lineage: Eukaryota; Fungi. The record is from RNAcentral.
AAGUCGUAACAAGGUUUCCGUAGGUGAACCUGCGGAAGGAUCAUUACAGAAUAAUCUUGAUGGGUUGUUGCUGGCUCUCUUGAGGGGCAUGUGCACAUUCAUCAUCUUUAUAUUUCCACCUGUGCACCUUUAGUAGUUCUGGAAUAUUGUGUAGUCAAUCUUGUUGACUGUGUUUGAAGGGCUGCUGUGCUGUGAAAGGCCAGCUUUCCUUUACAUUUUCCAGGUCUAUGUUCUUUAUAUACACCACGUAUGUUACAGAAUGAAAUGUUCAGGCCUUUAAAAGCCUAUAAAACCAAUAUACAACUUUCAGCAACGGAUCUCUUGGCUCUC